Molecule: long non-coding RNA, 1581 nt
Filed under: Homo sapiens (human)
Lineage: Eukaryota; Metazoa; Chordata; Mammalia; Primates; Hominidae
Description: HSALNT0314588
Source: RNAcentral
CUUGGAGCCCCUUCUCCGGCCGCUGGCUUCUCGGACCGCGCCUCUCCAGCGCCGCCGCGCCCGCAGCGGGGCGCCCCGGACAGGGCCUGAGCUCCCGGCGCAGUGGAGAGGCGACUUGCGUCCUGGAAGGGCUCAGCAAAGGCGAACGGAGAGGUGCACCCUAGGCUGCGGGAGCGCGAGAGGAGGGGGGCACCUCGUUUGGAGGCCAAUAGCGCGGGCCCCAGAGGAGGCCCCACGGCCGGGAGCUUGGCGGCCGGCAACCCAGAGAACGCCACGGGCACCCGAGCCUUGUCCCGGCCCGGGGGGCUCCAGGCCUGCCCGCAAGAGGAGCUUUAAUUUGUCCAAACUAACACAGGGCGCGCCCUCACGUGGUCGGCUGGGGCAACGUGAACUGCGCUAGGACAUCCUCGGGGGUUUUCCGCCCCAUCCAAAGGGGAUGGCGGAUGGGAGGCACUCUCCAGCUGCACCCCGGGUUCUGGUUGUGCCUCUGGGAGCCUAGGCACAACCCGGGGAAUGGAGGACUACGGCAGGACCUCUCUAGGGACACUGCCUCGCCGCUCCCCCCACCCUGUUGCCGCUGAUGUUCCCAGGGCCUCAUUUUGUAAUCCACAAGUAGCUGCCGCCGGUCCCCCCAAAGCCAAAUGGGGGCUCCAGGGUGGGACAGGGUGGGCGGGGGUGAGGCUGUGACACCCAGAGGAAUUCCUGUGAGAGGAUGGGGAAGGGAUUCGCUCUUAGUUCCUGGGUGCACCCCUCCCCCUCUCCCGUGCACAGGGAAAUGAUGGCGGGAACACAGCAAAGGAGACCAUGUCCUGGAGAGGGUCCCGGGCCCCACCCUCCCCGGGGGGGCUUGUGCAAGGCUGGCGGCCCGAUCUCUGCUGAUUCCAGUAUUGGGGGUGCAGAGAAGGCACAGGACAGUUUUUGUUGAAGCCGUUGCAGCCUCCACUUGGGGAAGCUGAGGCCAGGAGCACCAGGUACCCUGAGAAAAGUGAGAAGAGAGAUUGCAGCCCAGGUCCCUGCAGAGGAGGAUGGGCUCCUUUCCCAGGAAGGACUGGCUGAGUGGACUGUCUCCAGGGCACAGGACAACGUUGAGGGCCUGAGGCCUCCACCUUCUUGAAGAAGGACCAUGUGAAUUUCCUGACAGAGAACGGGGAUGGGUUUCUGAAAGCACCACCCAGCUGAGCCUGCCGAAACUGCACAGCUGUUUCCAGGCCAGGCUGGCUGCAUGGAGGACGUGAGAGGAACAGCCAGCUGUGUGUGCUGGGCCCACUGAUCAGGGUGCUCAGGACCAGGAGCCUUCUGAGGAUGUGCAGAGGGGACUCUGGGGAGAGGAACAUGGUGGCCACAGCUGGAGUGACCGCAGUGUACAGAGAUGGGAUGGGAGCAGGAAACCCAAAAGAGCCGGCCCUGGAACCAGGUGGAGGGGAGGCAGCCCGGCCAUGACCCAGAGCAGGUGAUAUGAUUUGGAUCUGUGUUCCCACCCAAAUUUUAGGUUCAGUUUUAAUCCUCAGUGUUGGAGGUGGGUCCUGGUGGGAGGUGAUCAGAUCAUGGGAGUGGAUUCUAAUGGUUUAGCACCAUUCCCUC